Molecule: long non-coding RNA, 1184 nt
Filed under: Zonotrichia albicollis (white-throated sparrow)
Lineage: Eukaryota; Metazoa; Chordata; Aves; Passeriformes; Passerellidae
Description: lncRNA (ENSZALG00000000700.1)
Source: RNAcentral
AUGAAUUUUGUGGGUGCAGGAUUUGGAUUUUGGGGCGAAGGGUUUGGAUUUUGGGGUGAAGGAUUUGGAAUUUUGGGAUGAAUUUUGGGGCGAAGGAUUUGGAUUUUGGGGUGCAGGGUUUGGAAUUUGGGGUGAAGGGUUUGGAUUUUGGGGUGAAUUUUGGGGCGAAGGAUUUGGAUUUUGGGGUGAAGGUUUUGGAUUUUGGGGUGAAGAAUUUGGAUUUUGGGGUGAAGGAUUUGGAUUUUGGGGUGAAUUUUGGGAUGAAGGUUUUGGAUUUUGGGGUGAAUUUUGGAUGAAUGAUUUGGAUUUUGGGAUGAAUUUUGGGGUGAAGGAUUUGGAAUUUGGGGUGAAGGAUUUGGAUUUUGGGAUGAAGGAUUUGGGAGAUUUGGGAUGAAUUUUGGAUGAAUGAUUUGGAUUUUGGGAUGAAUUUUGGGAUGAAGGAUUUGGAAUUUGGGAUGAAUUUUGGGGUGAAGGAUUUGGAUUUUGGGGUGAAUUUGGGGGUGAAGGAUUUGGGAAUUUUGGGAUGAAUUUUGGGGUGAAGGGUUUGGAUUUUGGGAUUUGGAUUUUGGGAUGAAGGGUUUGGAUUUUGGGGUGAAAGAUUUGGGAGAUUUGGGAUGAAGGAUUUGGAUUUUGGGGUGAUGUAUUUGUUUUCUGGGAUGAAGGAUUUGGAAGCAUUUGGGAACUUUGGGGUGAAGGAUUUGGAUUUUGGGAUGAAGGGUUUGGAUUUUGGGGUGAAGGGUUUGGAUUUUGGGAUUUGGAUUUUGGUAUGAAGGGUUUGGAUUUUGGGGUGAAGGGUUUGGAUUUUGGGAUUUGGAUUUUGGGAUGAAGGGUUUGGAUUUUGGGGUGAAUGAUUUGGGCUUUGGGAUGAAAUUUGGGAUGAAGGGUUUGGAAUUUUGGGAUGAAGGAUUUGGGAGAUUUGGGAUGAAGGAUUUUGGGAUGAAGAAUUUGGAAUUUGGGGUGAAGGAUUUGGAUUUUGGGGUGAAGGGUUUGGGUUUUCGGAUGAAUUUUGGGGAGAAGGAUUUGGAAUUUGGGGUGAAGAAUUUGAAAUUUGGGAUGAAGAAUUUGGAUUUUGGGAUGAAUUUUGGGGCGAAGGAUUUGGAUUUUGGGGCGAAGGAUUUGGAUUUUGGGGUGAAGGGUUUGGAUUUUGUGGGUGUAGGAUUUGGAAUUUGGGGUGAAGGAUUUGG